RNAcentral lists this small RNA (107 nucleotides) under Marmota monax (woodchuck). Lineage: Eukaryota; Metazoa; Chordata; Mammalia; Rodentia; Sciuridae. The record is from RNAcentral.
GCUGGGUACAGUGGCCCACUCCUGUGAUCACAGCUACUUGGGAGGCUGAGGCAGGAGGAUUGAUGGAGACCAGAAGUUUAGGGCAACAUAGCAAGACCCUGUUUCAA